Molecule: transfer RNA, 85 nt
Organism: Felis catus (domestic cat)
Lineage: Eukaryota; Metazoa; Chordata; Mammalia; Carnivora; Felidae
Rfam family: tRNA
About the family: Transfer RNA (tRNA) molecules are approximately 80 nucleotides in length. Their secondary structure includes four short double-helical elements and three loops (D, anti-codon, and T loops).
Source: Rfam
GCCUGGGUGGCUCAGUCAGUUAAGCGUCUGACUUCGGCUCAGGUCAUGAUCUCACAGUCCGUGGGUUUGAGCCCUGCCUUGGGCU